CUUUUUAUGGUGUCUUAUAGCAUGUUUUAAGUGGCGUAGCGUUUUUGAAUGAUGUUUGUUUCACUGAAUACUAUGUUGCGAAUUUGUAUCAGUUCUACUGAGGAUUGCAGGCGAAAUUAGUUUUCCGUCUAUUUGAUCUUCAAUGAUUCGCUUGCUAAACUCGUGAUGGGAUAGAGUUUCACUGCCAUUCUAAACUACCUUGGCUUCAGAGCCAUUAACAGAACGAGCUUGGCACUCAAAUAAUGGAGACGAAAGGAGCAACUGCAAUUUCGUGUUAAUCUCAAUGUACCCACCAAAAGAGUUUUUCCACAGAUGAACUCUCGCCUGUGUAAAAGUGACUGUUCAAAAAUGCUAUUGCGAGAGUGGAAAGAUGAAUUUUCUGAAUCCUUAAAACGCCUCCUUUGAAAACGACUUCGAGUUUCCAUCUGCGAAGCUGGAAAUUUUCUAAUGGAUGUCGGAUGAAUUACGUUCAUGGAGCCUGAUUUAAUCACUUAGCAAAAGUAAACGAACCUUGCUAAAGAGAACAAGGGAUUUUCUAGUUCCUUGAAAUGGAUCCAAAGCUACCUGGAUACUCCAAGAUACACCUGGAUACCCGAAGGUCUGUACAGAAUAUUUGGAUUCAUACGACUUAACUUACUGCAACAGUCAGUUUUCUAAAUGUUUCGAACUGAUAACUUUAUUCCAUGAAUAUAAAAUUAGUGAUCCUGAGGUUUUAUCAAUAGAAAAGUAUAUUUUAUUUAUGCAAUUUGAUCUAUUGCCACAAGCUGAAAUAAUCGUCUUUGUGCCACUUUAUUGGGAACUUCAAUUACUAUCGUAAACCAAAUCUUAAAUAUCCUAUUCUAGAUUUAAAUGAAACGGACCUCAAAAAAAAUUUAAUUGUUUAAGGUUGAAUGUGUCGGAUCCACUUGUGUGCUAGCCUAUAAAUUUCGGUUCUCAUCGGUUGCAGACGCGCAUUUAUUUUAUCAAUAGUAUUAAAACGAAGGAGGUCAGAUUUGGCAUCAAUGCCAAGAAAUUUUGUUCUUUUCGUUUCAGACCUUGUGUUGAAACGCAAAGUAAUCACCGAUAUCUAUACUAAAGCUCCCGAGAAACUUGUGUUGCAAACAAUUAAACGGUUUUAAGUUCUUUAGAAAGACUCAAUCUCAAAUUCAGGGAAGCAAGAUUUCGUUCUUUUAAACAUUCCUGUAUCGCAAUUUCUAAUCUUAGUAUAUCAAAUGUUUGAAAAUUAGUCCCAAUAUUGGUUAAAAUUGCUAUAUACAAUUAUAGCAUGCCUUAAUGGAAGGAAAGAACGGUGUAGAACACCUGUCGCAUCUCAAUACCCCGAAAUUUUAAUUAGACUCGGUAAAAACAUUAAGAUUAUUUUGAGUGAAUUUACUCGGCACCUGCCUCGAAUACAACUAUUUAGGAGUCAUUUCCUCGUUUCUCAUUCUCAAGCGACUACGAAAUUAGUUUAGAAAAAUUUGGAUAUAGAAAAGUCUAGACGUAUUCCUUACGAGAACAUUUUUAAAGUUUCGAGCUGAGAUUCGUGCAAUUGCACUGAGACAUAAGGCUUUAUCUUCUGGCUUUACCCCCCCCCCCAAAUGUGAGCUUUUGAACUAUAAUUGGUUAGAUUUUUCUAAAAUGAACUUAAUCGCCAAAUUUGGACAAAAUGCAGGAAAUCUCCGUAUCUUAGUGUAAAUGACUUAACUAUACAGUUGCCAAUGUUACGGGUAGAAAUUGCACAUUUCAGGUUUUCUAAAGUGAAGGUUAGUUUUGGGAAGUGGUAGAUGGGUUAUAUUAACAUGUCGAGUAACAAGCCGGCCCCUGUUGACUUUCCGUUUAGGCAUCGUGGGACCGACGGCCUAAACGGUAAGUGUCGGUCCCCAGGGAUCCGGUACUUGACAUGUUAAUGGAGUGGGGAAGCUUCAAGUUUGGGGAAGUUUUUAAAACUGAGCUUAUGGGUUAUAAAAUGGUUAAGAACAUUUAAUGCAAUACAAUAGCUACUUAAAGGAGGGGGUCGAUAAAGGCUUGGAACCUGUAAAUGGCAAUUUGUACCACGAACAUUGGUAGCGAUUGUCGGAAUCUGAGAAUAGAUAGGUUCACGUGAAAGAUUACUGAAAUUUUUUAUGUAAGAAAUUUGAAUGAAAUUUUAGUUGUUUUCUAUCAUUAGCUGUAAUUGAUUCGUAAUUGUAAUAUUAGAGGAGACAGGAUUCGAAAUCGAGACUUAAAAUUUUUCACAUCCAUGAACUCGUGAAAUCUUUCUAGCAGACGAAUGACCUCAGUUUAAACUAUGGUCAGUACAGUAGUGUUUAUCGAUGAUUUUCUCUCCUAAACGUACGAGACUUAAACCAUUUAAUCACCAAAACGUUAACGUAAAAUUCUGAGAAGAAAUUUCCAAUGAAGUGGAACUAAAAUCCAUAUAAAGCAUUUUGAUGGCUCGCAUCAGUAACAUGGAAUUUAGCUGAAAAAUUAUUUGCACUUAUUUUGAUAACUUGCAAGAAACUCAGAAAAACGUUCUUUGAUUCUAAAUUUUAAACUAGUCUAUGAUCCCCAGUUGUAAUCCUAUUUUAAAAGAAGCCUCGUGCUAGAGCAGAAAUUGACAAGAGGUAGCCAUAUGCAUAAACGCGUCUUUUAGCAAAUGUAUCAAUUGUUCAGAAUAUAAAACGCGAAUAUGUAGGAAAAUUAUAGGAGAUUGAGUCUUUUAAACUACACUAAUUUGUAAUUAGUCGGUAGAAUUUUCUGGCAUUGCAAAAGUCGUUGCCUGUUUCAUUUGAAUCUAUUCUUAAUUGUUAAAACAUUAAAUUUUUGUCAUAAUUUAUUGGUAAACUUAAAAUCAAUUAUUUUUAAUUUCUUGAAUUUCUAAAUGCUUUUCAUGUUUCAUGAUAAUUUGCCAUUGUAGUUUGCAUUUUUAU
This is a long non-coding RNA of Argiope bruennichi, 2888 nucleotides long. RefSeq lists it as uncharacterized. The transcript has 4 exons. The record is from RefSeq and is a predicted model, not a curated record. Lineage: Eukaryota; Metazoa; Arthropoda; Arachnida; Araneae; Araneidae.